GGGUUGUGAGGUUAAGCGACUAAGCGUACACGGUGGAUGCCCUGGCAGUCAGAGGCGAUGAAGGACGUGCUAAUCUGCGAUAAGCGUCGGUGAGGUGAUAUGAACCGUUAUAACCGGCGAUUUCCGAAUGGGGAAACCCAGUGUGUUUCGACACACUAUCAUUAACUGAAUCCAUAGGUUAAUGAGGCGAACCGGGGGAACUGAAACAUCUAAGUACCCCGAGGAAAAGAAAUCAACCGAGAUUCCCCCAGUAGCGGCGAGCGAACGGGGAGGAGCCCAGAGCCUGAAUCAGUGUGUGUGUUAGUGGAAGCGUCUGGAAAGGCGCGCGAUACAGGGUGACAGCCCCGUACACAAAAAUGCACAUACUGUGAGCUCGAUGAGUAGGGCGGGACACGUGGUAUCCUGUCUGAAUAUGGGGGGACCAUCCUCCAAGGCUAAAUACUCCUGACUGACCGAUAGUGAACCAGUACCGUGAGGGAAAGGCGAAAAGAACCCCGGCGAGGGGAGUGAAAAAGAACCUGAAACCGUGUACGUACAAGCAGUGGGAGCCUCUUAAUGGGGUGACUGCGUACCUUUUGUAUAAUGGGUCAGCGACUUAUAUUCUGUAGCAAGGUUAACCGAAUAGGGGAGCCGAAGGGAAACCGAGUCUUAACUGGGCGUUAAGUUGCAGGGUAUAGACCCGAAACCCGGUGAUCUAGCCAUGGGCAGGUUGAAGGUUGGGUAACACUAACUGGAGGACCGAACCGACUAAUGUUGAAAAAUUAGCGGAUGACUUGUGGCUGGGGGUGAAAGGCCAAUCAAACCGGGAGAUAGCU
This 815-nucleotide ribosomal RNA is filed under the name Escherichia coli. Its description in RNAcentral is "partial 23S ribosomal RNA". It matches the Rfam family "Bacterial large subunit ribosomal RNA", at positions 1 to 850 of the family's 2925-position model. The record is from RNAcentral. Lineage: Bacteria; Pseudomonadati; Pseudomonadota; Gammaproteobacteria; Enterobacterales; Enterobacteriaceae.